GAUGAACGCCGGCGGCGUGCCUAACACAUGCAAGUCGAACGGUGAACGAGGGAGCUUGCUCCCUCCGGAUCAGUGGCGAACGGGUGAGUAACACGUGAGCAAUCUGCCCUGGACUCUGGGAUAAGCGUUGGAAACGACGUCUAAUACCGGAUACGAGGCGUAGGGGCAUCCCCAACGCCUGGAAAGAACUUCGGUCCAGGAUGAGCUCGCGGCCUAUCAGCUAGUUGGUGAGGUAACGGCUCACCAAGGCGACGACGGGUAGCCGGCCUGAGAGGGUGACCGGCCACACUGGGACUGAGACACGGCCCAGACUCCUACGGGAGGCAGCAGUGGGGAAUAUUGCACAAUGGGCGCAAGCCUGAUGCAGCAACGCCGCGUGAGGGACGACGGCCUUCGGGUUGUAAACCUCUUUUAGCAGGGAAGAAGCGAAAGUGACGGUACCUGCAGAAAGAGCACCGGCUAACUACGUGCCAGCCGCCGCCGUAA
This 486-nucleotide ribosomal RNA is filed under the name uncultured bacterium. RNAcentral's name for it is "partial 16S ribosomal RNA". It matches the Rfam family "Bacterial small subunit ribosomal RNA", at positions 28 to 523 of the family's 1533-position model. The record is from RNAcentral.